GGUGAAGAACGUAGCAAAAUGCGAUAAGUAAUGUGAAUUGCAGAAUUCAGUGAAUCAUCGAAUCUUUGAACGCACAUUGCGCCCGCCAGUAUUCUGGCGGGCAUGCCUGUUCGAGCGUCAUUUCAACCCUCAAGCACAGCUUGGUGUUGGGACUCGCGUUAAUUCGCGUUCCCCAAAUUGAUUGGCGGUCACGUCGAGCUUCCAUAGCGUAGUAGUAAAACCCUCGUUACUGGUAAUCGUCGCGGCCACGCCGUUAAACCCCAACUUCUGAAUGUUGACCUCGGAUCAGGUAGGAAUACCCGCUGAACUUAAGCAUAUCAAUAAGCGGAGGA
RNAcentral lists this unclassified non-coding RNA (332 nucleotides) under soil metagenome. Its description in RNAcentral is "partial contains 5.8S ribosomal RNA, internal transcribed spacer 2, and large subunit ribosomal RNA". The stretch from base 3 to 120 matches the Rfam family "5.8S ribosomal RNA", at positions 37 to 154 of the family's 154-position model. The record is from RNAcentral.